CGAACGCUGGCGGCAGGCUUAACACAUGCAAGUCGAACGCAUCGCAAGAUGAGUGGCAGACGGGUGAGUAACGCGUGGGAACAUACCCUUUUCUACGGAAUAGCUCUGGGAAACUGGAAUUAAUACCGUAUACGCCUACGGGGAAAGAUUUAUCGGGAAGGAUUGGCCGCGUUGGAUUAGCUAGUUGGUGGGUAAAGGCCUACCAAGGCGACGAUCCAUAGCUGGUCUGAGAGGAUGAUCAGCCACAUUGGGACUGAGACACGGCCCAAACUCCUACGGGAGGCAGCAGUGGGGAAUAUUGGACAAUGGGCGCAAGCCUGAUCCAGCCAUGCCGCGUGAGUGAUGAAGGCCUUAGGGUUGUAAAGCUCUUUCACCGAUGAAGAUAAUGACGGUAGUCGGAGAAGAAGCCCCGGCUAACUUCGUGCCAGGAGCCGCGGUAAUCUGAUGGCGCGAGG
This 455-nucleotide ribosomal RNA is filed under the name uncultured bacterium. RNAcentral describes it as "bacterial SSU rRNA". It matches the Rfam family "Bacterial small subunit ribosomal RNA", at positions 30 to 539 of the family's 1533-position model. The record is from RNAcentral.